GAAACGACUGCUAAGACUGGAUAGGAGAUAAGAAGGCAUCUUUUUAUUUUUAAAAGACCUAGCAAUAGGUAUGCUUAGGGAAGAGCUUGCGUCACAUUAGUUAGUUGGUGGGGUAAUGGCCUACCAAGACGAUGAUGUGUAGCCGGGCUGAGAGGUCGAACGGCCACAUUGGGACUGAGACACGGCCCAAACUCCUACGGGAGGCAGCAGUAAGGAAUUUUCGGCAAUGGAGGAAACUCUGACCGAGCAAUGCCGCGUGAACGAUGAAGUAUUUCGGUACGUAAAGUUCUUUUAUUAGGGAAGAAAAGAUGGUGGAAAAACCAUUAUGACGGUACCUAAUGAAUAAGCCCCGGCUAACUAUGUGCCAGCAGCCGCGGUAAUACAUAGGGGGCAAGCGUUAUCCGGAAUUAUUGGGCGUAAAGGGUGCGUAGGCGGUUAAAUAAGUUUAUGGUCUAAGUGCAACGCUCAACGUUGUGAUGCUAUAAAAACUGUUUAGCUAGAGUUGGAUAGAGGCAAGUGGAAUUCCGUGUGUAGUGGUAAAAUGCGUAAAUAUACGGAGGAACACCAGGAGCGGAGGCGGCUUGCUGGGUCUUAACUGACGCUGAGGCACGAAAGCGUGGGGAGCAAACAGGAUUAGAUACCCUGGUAGUCCACGCCCUAAACGAUGAGUACUAAACGUUGGAUAAAACCAGUGUUGAAGUUAACACAUUAAGUACUCCGCCUGAGUAGUACGUACGCAAGUAUGAAACUUAAAGGAAUUGACGGGACUCCGCACAAGCGGUGGAUCAUGUUGUUUAAUUCGAAGGUACCCGAAAAACCUCACCAGGUCUUGACAUGCUUUUGCAAAGCUGUAGAAAUACAGUGGAGGUUAUCAGAAGCACAGGUGGUGCAUGGUUGUCGUCAGCUCGUGUCGUGAGAUGUUGGGUUAAGUCCCGCAACGAGCGCAACCCUUGUUGUUAAUUGCCAUCAUUAAGUUGGGGACUUUAGCAAGACUGCCAAUGAUAAAUUGGAGGAAGGUGGGGACGACGUCAAAUCAUCAUGCCCCUUAUGACCUGGGCUACAAACGUGAUACAAUGGCUGUUACAAAGGGUAGCUAAAGCGUAAGCUUCUGGCGAAUCUCAAAAAAGCAGUCUCAGUUCGGAUUGAAGUCUGCAACUCGACUUCAUGAAGUUGGAAUCGCUAGUAAUCGCGAAUCAGCAUGUCGUGGUGAAUACGUUCUCGGGGUUUGUACACACCGCCCGUCA
This 1244-nucleotide ribosomal RNA is filed under the name Phytoplasma sp. BN-Op224. Its description in RNAcentral is "bacterial SSU rRNA". It matches the Rfam family "Bacterial small subunit ribosomal RNA", at positions 153 to 1399 of the family's 1533-position model. The record is from RNAcentral. Lineage: Bacteria; Bacillati; Mycoplasmatota; Mollicutes; Acholeplasmatales; Acholeplasmataceae.